UUAAGGCUUUUAUCGUUUAACUCAUUCGGUAUAUCGUUGUUUGUCGUUAUUGACAUGGAGACGUGCGGUAAUGACAUGAACUGGUGAGUAAUCUCUUGAUUCUGCAAUACCACCUAGGGAUAGGGGUAGGACGAUCAAUUGCGCUAACUUCUGUUUAUAAUGCGGUAUUAAUUACUAGGGGAGGCUAGGGAUAGCAAGCCGGUAAUUGAUAUUAGGCCCUUUUCGCCGAGGGAUCGGGUUAAGGGGAGGCUAAGAAAGUCGCAUAACAAUUGAAUCAAUCUAAUAAUCAAGGGUAGUAUGUAAGAGAGAGUGGAAAAGAUGAAAUUGUUAGUACCCAACAACAUUCAUCCAUCCAUUGUUUUCACUUGUCAAUUGAAUCAACAUUCAUUUUGCAUGUUAAUAUUUUUGCUCUCAAACCCAAUUUAUUAAUUUUAAUUUCUCAAGUCUUAUUAUUUUAAUUCACGCGAACGAGGAAGCCAUACAAGUCUCUUGGGAAACGAUACUUGGUCUUACCAUUUAUAUUACUUGUACGAUUUGGUACACUUGCCAAUCCGUCAACAGCCGUGCACUACUCUCCACC
RNAcentral lists this long non-coding RNA (580 nucleotides) under Vigna radiata. Its description in RNAcentral is "long non-coding RNA (VRAD_LNC016569)". The record is from RNAcentral. Lineage: Eukaryota; Viridiplantae; Streptophyta; Magnoliopsida; Fabales; Fabaceae.